Molecule: RNA transcript, 1077 nt
Organism: Arabidopsis thaliana (thale cress)
Lineage: Eukaryota; Viridiplantae; Streptophyta; Magnoliopsida; Brassicales; Brassicaceae
Exons: 2
Source: RefSeq
AAGUAUUAAUCUUGAUUUUCUAUUCCAUAUUAGCUCCAGUAUAAUAUCAAUGGUAACUGCAUGAUUCUGGUUGACCAAGCUAUGGUCAAGAUACAUUAGUGACUACGAAGAACAUGUGUCUAAGAACGAAGAACUAAAGUCUAUGAUUAAUCUCUAUUUAGAGAAUAACAACAAGACCUUGAAUUUAUUCAACAAGCUCAUAUACACAAACGAGUUUGUGGCACAGUACGAGUCUGUCUACAAGGAUCAUGUUAUGAUUUUAGAAAAGAUCCGUGAGCUGGAAGAAGUGCUCGAGAAGAAGCAUAAGCAUGCAAAGAUAAGGGGGAGAGUGGCGAUUAGUUUUCUCGCGACUAAAUUUCUCCCUGUUGUCGCCUAACCAUGUCUUCUCCUGCGCUUGGAACGGCUGCCAAUGCGAGGGGAAAGACGUUAAUGGAGAAAGAUGAGUAUUCUAAGGGAAUAGAGACCAAACAUUGAAGCGAUGAAGGCGAUAAAGCUCCUAGUCGUGUUAAGCCACAUGGAAGGUGAUGGAGUUUCAGAAAGGUAGGCUUCAGAAUCUGUAUUGGAAGAGAGACGUGUGUGCGUCGUGUAAAGGGAAUCAGAAUUUUGUGUGUCUUAAAAAGCAAGUUUGUGCGAUAAGAACACCGAGCUGUAAAGGCCGGGGAGGUUCAGUGGGCUGUAGUCUUGGGAUUCAGCUGGCGUUUUCCGGCACUGAUAAGCACUUGGCGGUUCUCAACUCGUGGUAUGAAGUUGAUAAUCUUAAGCAGUAUUCUCUUUAUGGUUUGUAUUCAAACCUCAAGAGCUCACUUACAAAUCAGCUCAAUAAUUUCUUCUGAGCUUCUUGUGGAGUUGUAUUUGUUUGUUUGCUUGUAUCACGUAAGUUAAUCUCUUUGGUGAGACUCUCUAAUGGUUUAUGAAAUGUAACACGAAUUUGCGGAAAUUGUUGUGGUAGGAACUAGAAUGUCCCUAUUCUGGGCAAAUAUGGUUUGGUUCAACCACUUGUAUCCAGAGUUAGUCAAGAGUCAGCCAUAGUUACGUAUAUAUGUAAAAGCAAUAGAUACGUACGUAUUUGCAACACCA